CUUCCUAGCAGGCUGAAUGUCCAACUGGCUGACGUCACUUCUGUAAUAGUUGGGUCUGUGUAAAAAAAGAGCCUUAAAAACAGAAUGCUGGAUGGUAAUAAACUGUGAUGGAGGCCAAUUAUUAUCACCCGAAGAAAAAAUGUUUUGAAAUAGGCCAAACACAUGGAUUCUGCUAUAGCAGAUGUUCUCACAACGUUGUGGAAGAACUGCAAACUCCAGAACUCAAGUUUCUUGAGUGCUCUGUCCUGCCCUGUAACAUCCUGACUGAAAACACUUGGAGAAUGUGCUAUUCUGCUUAUCAGACAAAAU
Molecule: long non-coding RNA, 309 nt
Organism: Aquila chrysaetos chrysaetos
Lineage: Eukaryota; Metazoa; Chordata; Aves; Accipitriformes; Accipitridae
Exons: 2
Source: RefSeq, a predicted model, not a curated record